UGGGGAUGUGGCUCAGUGGCAAAGUGCUUGUCUGGCAUGCAUGAGGCCAUGGGUUCAAAUCCCAAAGCACCAA
Molecule: transfer RNA, 73 nt
Filed under: Marmota monax (woodchuck)
Lineage: Eukaryota; Metazoa; Chordata; Mammalia; Rodentia; Sciuridae
Description: tRNA.Ala
Rfam family: tRNA
About the family: Transfer RNA (tRNA) molecules are approximately 80 nucleotides in length.
Source: RNAcentral